UACGGGAGGAGCAAGCGUUGUUCGGAUUUACUGGGCGUAAAGGGCGCGUAGGCGGUCAGCACAAGUCAGUUGUGAAAUCUCCGGGCUUAACUCGGAAAGGUCAACUGAUACUGUGCGACUAGAGUGCAGAAGGGGCAACUGGAAUUCUCGGUGUAGCAGUGAAAUGCGUAGAUAUCGAGAGGAAUACCAACGGCGAAGGCAGGUCACUGGGCAGUUACUGACACUGAGGCACGAAGGCCAGGGGAGCAAACGGG
RNAcentral lists this ribosomal RNA (254 nucleotides) under uncultured prokaryote. RNAcentral's name for it is "partial 16S ribosomal RNA". It matches the Rfam family "Bacterial small subunit ribosomal RNA", at positions 524 to 776 of the family's 1533-position model. The record is from RNAcentral.